CUCAAAAUAAUCCAAACGUCAUUGCUACGUGAAAAAUCACGUGGAUCAUUCCAAAUUCAUUUUGCCUUAUCUUCACCUGACCAAGGUAAUUAUUACUAGAGCAUAUAUAAUCACCAAAUGGAGUCCGGGUGAUUGUUACCGAAGCUACCCGUCGCACUUACGUGAAAAUCACGUAGGCAUUUACAUUCAUUUUGACAUCGCGUUCAUUCUCUGUUUUGACAUCGCGUGCAUUCUCGGUUCAAUUUUUAAAAUGGUGGCCGCUUGUUUUUCCAGGAGUUGCUGGACUUUAAAACAACUUUUGGAUUGAUUUCAUGCUUACGAAACAUAGAACAGCAAAUCCGAACAAAUUUGUAAUGCAGUUGGGCCAGGGAUGCCACCGUGUCGGUCAGUGGGUAUUGGACAUUGAUUCACACUAUCAAUUGAAAACAAUGUGAAUACAUUGUAUUCGCAAUAACGAUUGAAUGCAAUAAAUACUUGAAUUCUU
Molecule: long non-coding RNA, 484 nt
Organism: Aedes aegypti (yellow fever mosquito)
Lineage: Eukaryota; Metazoa; Arthropoda; Insecta; Diptera; Culicidae
Exons: 2
Source: RefSeq, a predicted model, not a curated record